GCCAAUGUAGCUCAGGGGUAGAGCACUUCCUUGGUAAGGAAGGGGUCACGAGUUCAAUUCUCGUCAUUGGCUC
This 73-nucleotide transfer RNA is filed under the name Bacteroidetes bacterium ADurb.Bin041. RNAcentral's name for it is "tRNA-Thr". It matches the Rfam family "tRNA". From Rfam's summary of the family: Transfer RNA (tRNA) molecules are approximately 80 nucleotides in length. Their secondary structure includes four short double-helical elements and three loops (D, anti-codon, and T loops). Further hydrogen bonds mediate the characteristic L-shaped molecular structure. tRNAs have two regions of fundamental functional importance: the anti-codon, which is responsible for specific mRNA codon recognition, and the 3' end, to which the tRNAs corresponding amino acid is attached (by aminoacyl-tRNA synthetases). tRNAs cope with the degeneracy of the genetic code in two manners: having more than one tRNA (with a specific anti-codon) for a particular amino acid; and 'wobble' base-pairing, i.e. permitting non-standard base-pairing at the 3rd anti-codon position. The record is from RNAcentral. Lineage: Bacteria; Pseudomonadati; Bacteroidota.